Molecule: ribosomal RNA, 549 nt
Filed under: Triticum aestivum (bread wheat)
Lineage: Eukaryota; Viridiplantae; Streptophyta; Magnoliopsida; Poales; Poaceae
Description: partial small subunit ribosomal RNA
Source: RNAcentral
AUGAUCGCCCAAGAUCAAAAGAGCACCAACCAAAACAAUGGUGUCCGCUUUGAUGCAGCAACCAAGAGGGGAAAGGACACCUAUUAUGGUUACAUAGUGGACAUACGGGAACUUGACAAUGGACAUGGUUUUAAGGUCCCUUUGUUUCAGUGCAAAUGUGUCAAUCUGUCAGGAGGCAGGGUACAGGUAGACCCACAGUACGGAAUGAAAACAGUGGAUCUGAACAAUCUUGGGUACACAGACGAACUAUUCAUCCUAGCCAAUGAUGUGGCCCAGAUUUUCUAUGUGAAGGACAUGUCUACCAAACCGAGAAAAAGAAAAGAUAAGGAAGCGAAUACAUCAUACGAUGAGCCAAAGAGUCACAUAGUUCUUUCAAGAAAAAGAGACAUCAUGGGAUUGGUGGGCAAGACAUACAUGUCUGAAGAUUAUGAAAAGUUUCAUGAAAUUUCUCCCUUCAAAGUCAAGGCUGACCCAAGCACCCUGUUAAAUGAUGAAGAUUAUCCAUGGUUACAGCGCAAUAAGCAAAGGACACAAGCGAAGAAAAAGUGA